CUUCGUCUCCUUUUUUAGUCCUCGAGAUGCGCCAACGCUACACUGCAAUAAAAAGUGCCUAAACAGUCUCGUGGUGUUGGUCACGGUGUUUGCCGCUCUCACUCGUCCUCGACAACGCUCUUGUGAUCUUGUUGACGUGACUAGUCUUAGACUUUAGAGGGGCGACGGGUGCACGGCCGAGGAUUUCCUCAGCCUGCCUUGAACCAGCAGGAGGAAUCUCCUCAGGGUGAAGGGAAACACGAACAGGGGAACGACCCUCUGUGUUGGCCUUGGCGAAGAUGAUGUCCAAAUCUUCAAGACUGUAUCGCUUGGUCUCUGCACGAAAAGUUAAUACUCCUUACAGGACGAGCUAGACAAAGUGGACGUACCAGGGAAGAACAAAUAAACGGAAGGAAGAAUAACAACGGCGUUGAUGGCGGCGAAAAAGGCAUAUGUGCCCCAUCCGAUGUUGGCGAACAUGGGACCAGUAGCCAUAACGACCAUAAAGUUGAAGAUCCAGUUGGAAGCGGUGGACAACGCAUUGGCAGGAGCUCGCACUCGAAGAGGCGUAACUUCAGCAGGAUAAAGCCAGGUCAUACCGAGGUAACCGACAGAGAACCAAGUGUUGAAGAGGAAAAGCAUGAGAACAGAGAAGACCUGGGCAGUUUUGUUCGGGUUUACCUCAUCGGUCGAGAGGUCAUAGAGACCUGCGAGGAUAGCCAUAGUGGCAGCUUGGAACCCGGCCAUCCAGAGCAUAAGAGGGCGACGACCGGCGCGUUCCACGAUGGCAAUAGCAACAAGGGAAGUGAGGAAGUAACAAGUACCGUUGACACCCGAGAUGAUUCGAGACAUGACGGCGCCGAGGCCAAGACCGGUCAGCACAGAGGUAAGGUAAUAGGUAAUAAGGCUGAAUUCAGCCAUACCGAGCAAAGUUCUCCUAAAGUGCUGAGACUUUCCAUGGGUGAAGAUCUCUGAGAACUUGAAAGAACCAGAGUUCUCCGCCGCAAGAGUGUCUGUGAUUCCAUGAAAAGUGUUCAUAACCUCUUGGUCGUCAACGGUGGUGUUGGACAAGGCGGCAAGAACUGCAAGAGAUUCGGCAUUUUUGCCCUUUGCGGCAAGCCAUCGUGGAGACUCGGGGAGACGGAAGGUGUACUAUAGGUGUAUUAUGAUCAUGACCAAGAUGAACACAAUUUGAAACGCGAUAGGGAAUCUCCAUGAAAUGGAUCCGGAGGUGAAAUAGAACGCGAGAUCCAUCCUGAACAUGGAUCAGCUAUGCCUUCUUUCGUAAACCAUCAUCACAACUUACCAGUAAGAAAUCAUGAUGCCAAAGGCAAUCAAAGAACCCUCUACAAGCACUAGCUGGCCUCGUCGAUGGGGUUUGGAACAUUCACUCUGAUAUGCCGGGACAGUAGAAGUCAAGAGACCGUUUCCGACACCUGUAACAACACGAGCGACAAGCAUCAUGGCGUAAUCAACAGCGGCAGUCUGAAGGAUGGAACCGACAAGCAUGAUAAAACCACCACUACGCAUCGUCAACAUCAAGAGUCAAGUGACUAUAUUCCAGCUUUGACUUACAGAGAGAUGGUAUGUCGACGACCAAGUCGGUCACCAAUCCAAAUACUUGAAAUGGCACCCAUCAUACAACCAAUCUCGUCUAGGGGAAUAGUUAGAGAAAAGUCAUGUGUACUGUGGAGCAAUCCAAAACUUACAGAUGGCCACCAUGAAUGAUUGGAGGGUUGCUGUUCGGGAUCCUUGGAAACCACCAGCGGUAUUGGGGAACUGAGCUUCGAAAGAAGGGAGGGUUAAGAGACCAGACAUAACACCUUGAUCGUAUCCGAAAAGGGUGAAACCGGUACCAGCGACAAAAGUUACCUGACAGGGAAUGUUAGAUCGUUAAAAGCAUGAGCAACUUUCAGACUUACCAUCCAUGUUAAUCCCUUGCCUGAAACCCUAGAUGGUGUCACGUCUCGAGCAGCUUGAAUAUCUUCUUCUGAUAAUCGGAAAGCGUUGCUGGAUAAUAUUGUCGCAUUGUCGGCAUCUGAUAGAUGUUCGGGCCUUGCCUGUUUCUCAUGGACGACGUUGGUCGGGUCAACGGUAGACAUGUUUCUAAUUGAUUACAAUGAAUGAAGGUAACGAUCGC
RNAcentral lists this small RNA (2119 nucleotides) under Cryptococcus neoformans H99. Its description in RNAcentral is "Cryptococcus neoformans var. grubii H99 hypothetical RNA". Lineage: Eukaryota; Fungi; Basidiomycota; Tremellomycetes; Tremellales; Cryptococcaceae. The record is from RNAcentral.